UCCUCGAUAGCUCAGCGGCAGAGCAUCCGGCUGUUAACCGGAGGGUCGUAGGUUCGAACCCUACUCGGGGAG
This is a transfer RNA of 72 nucleotides. It matches the Rfam family "tRNA". From Rfam's summary of the family: Transfer RNA (tRNA) molecules are approximately 80 nucleotides in length. The record is from Rfam.